RNAcentral lists this long non-coding RNA (1139 nucleotides) under Zea mays. RNAcentral describes it as "long non-coding RNA (ZMAY_LNC005558)". Lineage: Eukaryota; Viridiplantae; Streptophyta; Magnoliopsida; Poales; Poaceae. The record is from RNAcentral.
CCUCGCAAGAUCAGGCGUUAAAUAGGCCCGAGCUCUCGUCGGCGAUCCCUGCUCGAUGUCUCGUGACACCGGGCAUUAUUACUAUCCUGCCUGUUCUUCCACCUCACCAAUGGAGACGACAGACGACGUCGCAAGAUCAGGCGACCAGCUGGAGAAGAGAAGAGAGCAAGGCCCUCCUUUUUCUGGCGAAAUUUCGCGUGGCUGCGCAAAGGAUACCAAAUCUGGGACCACUAAUUAGGACCGAUCAGUAUGGUCGUAGAUUGCACUAACAGACAGCCUUUCUUUCGUUCGCAGGCCAGUGGAACCUGUGGAUCGCCUCAACUGCAGCGACUCAGCGAGGGCUGUUGCAGAGAUGCAGUAGUCGAGAGGCACAGAUAAAUCUAACCUAGGGAAGUACGUUAAAUCUAAACUAGUACUGGGGUACCUUAUUUCAGUUUAUUUGUGAUAUCAAAAUAAUAAUUUACUCUCAUAACUUUCCACCAUAAUCGAACUUAUAUAAUCUACUUAUAUAAUCUAGGAGAGCAAAACAAAUAGGGUCUAAAUAUCCACUAGCUAGCAAACCGAGUGUUUGAAACUAGGCUUGAUACACACGAAUGAAUAUUCACAUGGUUAGAACGAUUCUUCUGGAUCUCGCCUGCCCCAUGGCGCCCUGCCACGGAACGCACAGAUGCUCCUGGUCAGUGCUUGGCAGCUCCACGCUUGCGCGGCCUGGGUCGAGCCGAAGACGCACCUGGACCCUUGCGAGGUUUCCUAGACCGAGCCUUCUUUGCCUCGUAACCUAUAGCUUUCAGGUCCUCGCAUAUCUCCUGCCUCCCUAGAAGGAGCCCAGGAACUAUCUCCCUCUGGAAAUUUCUCAUGCCCCUCCCUCUCUUUAGCUUGAUCCGACAUGCUGGCCCUUCCUUGAAAGGUGGGGUCACGGUGACGGAUUGCCCGUCAUCUUUGGCCUCCUCUGAAUCCAACACGGUUUUCUCGAACGAGUCCAACGAAGGCUGAGGCUCGUCGUCCACCUUCUGAGCUGCUGUCUGGUUGCUGCUUCCAGGGCGAUGAGCAACACAUUCAGAACUAUGCUGAAACAUGGAAAGAAGGGUUCUAGCUGCAGUAUCAGCUGUGGUGCCACCAUCGUCGACCUUACAUUGAAG